ACGGAAGGCAGCAGUGGGGAAUAUUGCACAAUGGGGGAAACCCUGAUGCAGCGACGCCGCGUGAAGGAAGAAGUAUCUCGGUAUGUAAACUUUUAUCAGCAGGGAAGAAAAUGACGGUACCUGACUAAGAAGCCCCGGCUAACUACGUGCCAGCAGCCGCGGUAAUACGUAGGGGGCAAGCGUUAUCCGGAUUUACUGGGUGUAAAGGGAGCGUAGACGGAAUUGCAAGUCUGAUGUGAAAGGCAUGGGCUCAACCCGUGGACUGCAUUGGAAACUGUGAUUCUUGAGUGCCGGAGGGGUAAGCGGAAUUCCUGGUGUAGCGGUGAAAUGCGUAGAUAUCAGGAGGAACACCGGUGGCGAAGGCGGCUUACUGGACGGCAACUGACGUUGAGGCUCGAAGGCGUGGGGAGCAAACAGGAUUAGAUACCCUGGUA
This 434-nucleotide ribosomal RNA is filed under the name uncultured Blautia sp. RNAcentral describes it as "partial 16S ribosomal RNA". It matches the Rfam family "Bacterial small subunit ribosomal RNA", at positions 341 to 792 of the family's 1533-position model. The record is from RNAcentral. Lineage: Bacteria; Bacillati; Bacillota; Clostridia; Lachnospirales; Lachnospiraceae.